Long non-coding RNA from Brassica napus (rape), 590 nucleotides. RefSeq lists it as uncharacterized. Lineage: Eukaryota; Viridiplantae; Streptophyta; Magnoliopsida; Brassicales; Brassicaceae. The transcript has 2 exons. The record is from RefSeq and is a predicted model, not a curated record.
AUGAAGGUCUUAAAGAUAUCUUUUGAAACUCGUCUUUUGGGAAGACAUGGUAAAUUGAGUUAGCUUUACAAUGGAGGUGGUUUCAAGUCGUUUGGAGCUGUAUUGAGGGAUUUAUGAUCAAAAUACUACACACAUAUCAGUGUGUGCAACAUGGAGAAAGUGGAGAAAACUUUAAUGAGUGAGUUUUAUCUCUUUAAAGCUUGCAACAUGGGGGAUGGGUUGUCUAUCAUGAGUUUGGUGGCUCUUUUGGCCUAACUUUCUCUACCUUUUCUGAAGAGGCAAGACUACUUUGGCCAUAUGAAGGGGCAAAAGGUGUUCUAUAAUGGAAGAAAGUGGAGAAUAACUUUUAUGAGUGUGUUUUAUGCUUUAUGCUUUCACAUGAUGGAUGUGUUGUCAUCCUCCUUUACUUAGGCUAUAAAAGAGACUGCAAGGGGAAGGAGGAAGACACACAAUACACAGAGUACAAUACAACAAAGAGUAGAGAGUGAAAGUUUUAUAGUUUCAUAUUUUGUAUUUUGAGAGUUUGAGAGAAAACAUUUGUUCUUGAGCUGUUCUUCAUUGUUCAUCAUCUAUUCUUGAGUUUUAAUUUC